Patiria miniata (bat star) is the source of this 2088-nucleotide long non-coding RNA. RefSeq lists it as uncharacterized. The record is from RefSeq and is a predicted model, not a curated record. The transcript is spliced from 4 exons. Lineage: Eukaryota; Metazoa; Echinodermata; Asteroidea; Valvatida; Asterinidae.
GUAGCUUCAUCCACAAAUUGAGUCAUCAGUGCGAAAGACAAACUCAACAGUCAACUGUCAACAUGGCUACAUUUUCCUGUCAAUAUGUGAAGGGUGCAACUUGUGCAUGUAUUCCAAAGUUGCUGUGCGAUCAGCAGGUUAGACUGUGGCCCUACACCCUGCAAGCACUAAUCAGGUGAGAAUAAAUGUGUCUGAUAUUUUAUUGGCAUUUGUACCACUUCACCAAGAAGACUUUGCCCAAACGGCGCCGAGACCACCAUCUUCUUCCAACAGACCCUCUGGUGGUCACGAACUACUCUGUUGAGGUUCGGAACUGCUUUGAUGUUCUUGAUCAACUGUCCAACUCUGUUGAAGACUCCUGGGUCCCGUACCGUGAUACAGUUCUCGGUGCCGUUGAGGCUGCUGUUCGUUCCUGUCUUUCAAAGCAGCGUCCCCAGGCUCACCGGAGAGACCAUUGACAUCAUAGAGCAUAAAUGUGGUGCUCGUCUGAGCUGCCACCAUGCUGAAAGUAACUGUCUGGUGGGGAUGUACAAGGCCAAAGCGAAGCAAGACCUUGAUGCUUGGUACGACUCUGUUGUCUCUGAAGCCGAAGCUGGCCUGAAACAAAAAAAUCUCCACCCCGCCUUCAAGGCAGUCAAGUGUCUUCACGGAUGUAGCAAGCAUUCAGCUUCAUUUCUGAUUUCCAAGGCAGAACGUUCUCCCUGCAACUGGGUGGAUGAAACCCUGUCCCACUGGAAAGACUACCAGGGUCAAGGUUGGCAACGACCUUUCUCCCUCCUUCGUCCAGAGUUCGGCAGUGCUGUGUGCUGGCACCAACCUUGUUCUGCUUAGCCAUGGACACUAUCCUGUCACAGUGUGAGGAUUCAAUGCAGGCAAUCACAGGUUUACCGACCUCCUGUAUGCAGAUGAUGCCGCUCUCUUCAAAGGAUCCAACCACAUGGGGAGAACUUCUCGCAACCUUUGACCGUAAAGCCACUUACGUGGGCCUAAACCAUCAUGGACAAAAACCAAGGUUCAGUCACUAUGCGGUCCAGCACCUGUUCAAAUUUCUCUGGAUUGGGAUGUUGUCGAAUCUGUUGAGUCCUUUUGUUAUUUUGAGUGCACUAUCGACUCAUCAGGUUUCUGCAGUAAGGACAUACUAUGCAGAAUUGGCAUCGCCAGUACCAUCAUGGGCUAACUUGAUUGUCUUUGGAGAAGCAAGGCUAGUCUUUUGGUAAAACUUUGGUUUUAUCGCGCAUGAAAGAACAAGAACGCAUUCAAGCUUUCCACAUGCAGUGUCAGUGUUGUAUACUUGGAGUUUCAUGGUGCAGUUUCAUUUCCAAUGCAAUCAUCCAGGUAACAUUUUGUCUGAGAUCUCAGGGAGGCGACACACCCUUUUUGGUCAUGUUCGGCGCCUCCAAGCUCCUACCCCUGCUCGUCUUGCCCUUGAUGCUGCCGUCCAGUUCCACCUUGGGCAACGGCCUGCCACCUGGAUGAGGCCUCGUGGUCGUCCCCGGCUUCCCUGGCUUAAGCAGGUUGUGGAUGCUGUGCAGCUGUCGCCAAUCGAGUGCUGGUCCUUUGCUCUUGAUCAGGGAGGUUGCAGGUCACUACAACUCACUGAUGGUCAAGUGCAGCAGUAAGUAAGUACAUAAGUCAUCAACCACAAAUCUGCAUGUUUCUCCCAGUUGCCAGUGUGCUCUCCAACAGCAUCACUCUGCGUGCCAGUAUUAUUAAUAUUUUUCAGAUGUUCUCAACCACCAAUCAAAAUGUUGUCUCCCAGUUGCCAGUGUGGUCUCCAACAGCGUGACUCGGACUGUGCAUGUUAGUCUUGAAAAUUGUUUAGGGAGGCACAGUAAUAAUAAGCGGCUGAAAUGAAGCUAUGCCAACAUCCUUCUUUCAAACAUGUCAAGGCAGAGUUACUGAGUGAUUCUACCAUCUCGGUCAGCAUUUAGAAUUCAAAUGGCCAAACACGUAUGACGCAUUCAAGAAUGGCCCUAAAUUGUCUUCUGCUGUUACAAGCAACAUGUACAUGUAUAUCAUUCACUUGAACCUUAAGAAACAUGAAAUGGGAAAGUGUCUUCACAAAACUCUGUCUAAAGUAUCACUCAU